This 464-nucleotide ribosomal RNA is filed under the name Curvibacter sp. RNAcentral's name for it is "bacterial SSU rRNA". It matches the Rfam family "Bacterial small subunit ribosomal RNA", at positions 1 to 462 of the family's 1533-position model. Lineage: Bacteria; Pseudomonadati; Pseudomonadota; Betaproteobacteria; Burkholderiales; Comamonadaceae. The record is from RNAcentral.
AGAUCGAACUAUAGAGUUUGAUCCUGGCUCAGAUUGAACGCUGGCGGCAUGCCUUACACAUGCAAGUCGAACGGCAGCACGGGAGCAAUCCUGGUGGCGAGUGGCGAACGGGUGAGUAAAGUAUCGGAACGUGCCCAGUCGUGGGGGAUAACGUAGCGAAAGCUACGCUAAUACCGCAUACGAUCUAUGGAUGAAAGCGGGGGAUCGCAAGACCUCGCGCGAUUGGAGCGGCCGAUAUCAGAUUAGGUAGUUGGUGGGGUAAAGGCCCACCAAGCCGACGAUCUGUAGCUGGUCUGAGAGGACGACCAGCCACACUGGGACUGAGACACGGCCCAGACUCCUACGGGAGGCAGCAGUGGCGAAUUUUGGACAAUGGGCGCAAGCCUGAUCCAGCCAUGCCGCGUGAGUGAAGAAGGCCUUCGGGUUGUAAAGCUCUUUCAGCCGGAAAGAAAUUGCUUCUAUUA